This 610-nucleotide ribosomal RNA is filed under the name methanogen MEm3 associated with Eudiplodinium maggii. Its description in RNAcentral is "bacterial SSU rRNA". It matches the Rfam family "Archaeal small subunit ribosomal RNA", at positions 268 to 878 of the family's 1478-position model. Lineage: Archaea; Methanobacteriati; Methanobacteriota; Methanobacteria; Methanobacteriales; Methanobacteriaceae. The record is from RNAcentral.
UACGGGUUGUGAGAGCAAGAGCCCGGAGAUGGAACCUGAGACAAGGUUCCAGACCCUACGGGGUGCAGCAGGCGCGAAACCUCCGCAAUGUACGAAAGUGCGACGGGGGGGAUCCCAAGUGUCAUGCUUUUUUUGAUGACUUUUCAUUAGUGUAAAAAGCUUUUAGAAUAAGAGCUGGGCAAGACCGGUGCCAGCCGCCGCGGUAACACCGGCAGCUCGAGUGGUAGCUGUUUUUAUUGGGCCUAAAGCGUUCGUAGCCGGUUUGAUAAGUCUUUGGUGAAAGCUUGUAGCUUAACUAUAAGAAUUGCUGGAGAUACUAUUAGACUUGAAGUCGGGAGAGGUUAGAGGUACUACCGGGGUAGGGGUGAAAUCCUAUAAUCCUGGGAGGACCACCUGUGGCGAAGGCGGCUAACUGGAACGAACUGACGGUGAGGGACGAAAGCUAGGGGCGCGAACCGGAUUAGAUACCCGGGUAGUCCUAGCCGUAAACGAUGCGGACUUGGUGUUGGGAUGGCUUUGAGCCGCUCCGGUGCCGAAGGGAAGCUGUUAAGUCCGCCGCCUGGGAAGUACGGUCGCAAGACUGAAACUUAAAGGAAUUGGCGGGGGAGCA